This 267-nucleotide long non-coding RNA is filed under the name Actinidia chinensis (golden kiwifruit). RNAcentral's name for it is "long non-coding RNA (ACHI_LNC000297)". Lineage: Eukaryota; Viridiplantae; Streptophyta; Magnoliopsida; Ericales; Actinidiaceae. The record is from RNAcentral.
UAUAGUUUUAAUUGUAACAAAUCAAGGUUUUAAUUUGUUAACAAGGUCAAAAAAAAUUACAGGAUUUUUUUUAUGGGCUUUGGCCUUGUUCUAGCAAAUUGGUCCCAUUUUAGGAACAUGACAUCCAGUAAUUUGGCAUCUCUAUUUUGUCCACAAAACUUUAUUGGCAGUGACGCAUUUGAAAUAAACUGUUGUUGCUCUCUUUAUGAUCAUAAGGUUUUUAAUGUCAUUAUGAGUCUGAUCGUGUGCUUUCUCAUUUACUUCGUU